UACGUAGGGUGCAAGCGUUGUCCGGAAUUAUUGGACGUAAAGAGCUCGUAGGCGGUCUGUCGCGUCGGCUGUGAAAACCCGGGGCUCAACCCCGGGCCUGCAGUCGAUACGGGCAGACUAGAGUGCGGUAGGGGAGACUGGAAUUCCUGGUGUAGCGGUGAAAUGCGCAGAUAUCAGGAGGAACACCGGUGGCGAAGGCGGGUCUCUGGGCCGUAACUGACGCUGAGGAGCGAAAGCGUGGGGAGCGAACAGG
RNAcentral lists this ribosomal RNA (253 nucleotides) under uncultured bacterium. Its description in RNAcentral is "partial 16S ribosomal RNA". It matches the Rfam family "Bacterial small subunit ribosomal RNA", at positions 524 to 776 of the family's 1533-position model. The record is from RNAcentral.